GUGGGGAAUAUUGGACAAUGGGCGCAAGCCUGAUCCAACCAUGCCGCGUGCAGGAAGACGCAUCUAUGGUGUGUAAACUGCUUUUGUACGGGAAGAAACACUCCCUCGUGAGGGAGCUUGACGGUACCGUAAGAAUAAGGAUCGGCUAACUCCGUGCCAGCAGCCACGGUAAUACGGAGGAUCCAAGCGUUAUCCGGAAUCAUUGGGUUUAAAGGGUCCGUAGGCGGUUUAAUAAGUCAGUGGUGAAAGCCCAUCGCUCAACGAUGGAACGGCCAUUGAUACUGUUAGACUUGAAUUACAAGGAAGUAACUAGAAUAUGUAGUGUAGCGGUGAAAUGCUUAGAUAUUACAUGGAAUACCAAUUGCGAAGGCAGGUUACUACUUGUGGAUUGACGCUGAUGGACGAAAGCGUGGGGAGCGAACAGGAUUAGAUACCCGAGUAGUCC
RNAcentral lists this ribosomal RNA (445 nucleotides) under uncultured bacterium. Its description in RNAcentral is "partial 16S ribosomal RNA". It matches the Rfam family "Bacterial small subunit ribosomal RNA", at positions 354 to 796 of the family's 1533-position model. The record is from RNAcentral.